UCCUACGGGGGGCAGCAGUCGGGAAUAUUGCGCAAUGGAGGAAACUCUGACGCAGUGACGCCGCGUAUAGGAAGAAGGUUUUCGGAUUGUAAACUAUUGUCGUUAGGGAAGAUAAAAGACUGUACCUAAGGAGGAAGCCCCGGCUAACUAUGUGCCAGCAGCCGCGGUAAUACAUAGGGGGCAAGCGUUAUCCGGAAUGAUUGGGCGUAAAGGGUGCGUAGGCGGCCUGCUAAGUCUGGAGUGAAAGGUACCGGCUCAACCGGUACAGGCUCUGGAAACUGGCGGGCUAGAGAGCAGGAGAGGGG
RNAcentral lists this ribosomal RNA (305 nucleotides) under uncultured bacterium. Its description in RNAcentral is "bacterial SSU rRNA". It matches the Rfam family "Bacterial small subunit ribosomal RNA", at positions 337 to 659 of the family's 1533-position model. The record is from RNAcentral.